Molecule: ribosomal RNA, 717 nt
Filed under: uncultured Actinomycetes bacterium
Lineage: Bacteria; Bacillati; Actinomycetota; Actinomycetes
Description: bacterial SSU rRNA
Rfam family: Bacterial small subunit ribosomal RNA
Source: RNAcentral
GCAAGUCGAACGGAGACCCUCAUCGUGGGGUAACCACAGCGAGGGUGUCUAGUGGCGAACGGGUGCGUAACACGGUGAGGAACCUGCCCCGGAGAUCGGGAUAGCCCAGGGAAACCUGGAUUAAUACCGAAUACCCUCCGACCGUCGCAUGUCGGACGGAGGAAAUGGUCCGCUGCUCCGGGAUGGCCUCGCGGCCUAUCAGCUUGUUGGUGAGGUAACGGCUCACCAAGGCAACGACGGGUAGCUGGUCUGAGAGGACGAUCAGCCACACUGGGACUGAGACACGGCCCAGACUCCUACGGGAGGCAGCAGCAGGGAAUAUUGCACAAUGGGCGAAAGCCUGAUGCAGCGACGCCGCGUGAGGGAUGAAGGCCUUCGGGUUGUAAACCUCUUUCAGGAGGGAAGAAGCGAAAGUGACGGUACCUCCACAAGAAGCCCCGGCCAACUACGUGCCANCAGCCGCGGUAAUACGUAGGGGGCGAGCGUUGUCCGGAUUCAUUGGGCGUAAAGAGCUCGUAGGCGGCUCAGCAAGUCGGUCGUGAAAGCCCGGGGCUCAACCCCGGGACGCCGAUCGAAACUGCUGUGGCUAGGGUCCGGUAGAGGAGAGUGGAAUUCCCGGUGUAGCGGUGAAAUGCGCAGAUAUCGGGAGGAACACCAGUAGCGAAGGCGGCUCUCUGGGCCGGCACCGACGCUGAGGAGCGAAAGCUAGGGGAGCAA